This 73-nucleotide transfer RNA is filed under the name Actinomadura sp. NAK00032. RNAcentral's name for it is "tRNA-Met". It matches the Rfam family "tRNA". From Rfam's summary of the family: Transfer RNA (tRNA) molecules are approximately 80 nucleotides in length. Their secondary structure includes four short double-helical elements and three loops (D, anti-codon, and T loops). Lineage: Bacteria; Bacillati; Actinomycetota; Actinomycetes; Streptosporangiales; Thermomonosporaceae. The record is from RNAcentral.
GCCAGGUGAGGAUGCUGGUGUGUCCGGCGGAUUCAUAUCCCGCUGCAGGCAGGUUCGAUUCCUGCACCUGGUA